AAAGUUUGCUUAAUUGCAAGUUUGCCACUCACCAAAGAAAUGAAGUAUAAAUUCAACUUUAUAGCUUCAAGUUUUUUUUUAAGUUGAAAUUGGGUGAGACAUUUUCUCUCUAUUUCUUCUUAGAGGCCGGCCAUUAAAGGAAGAAAACAUCUAGCAAUCUCUUCUUCUUUUAAUCAUCCAUAUCAUCUUCACAAGAUACAACCUUGGUGAAUAGACUUAGAGACAUCAAGCUUUUGGUGUUUUGGAGAACAAAUCCUUUUUCCUCAAAUCAUCAAAGGAGCACUAAAGGGAGUAAAACACAAGAAGGAUUCAAGGAGCUUGGAGGUGACUUGAAGGCCCUCCACUUGGGUGAAUCCCUUGUGUAAACAAGGAUGAGCUUCAAGGGUAAAGAAUCACUAAAUUCUUCUUUCUCUUUAAUGUUGUUAAAGAGUUUAUUUUGGUUCACCACAUACUAGGCUUUGAAAGUCAUGGGUUUUAUUGAAUUGUUUUUGGAUGCAUGCCUAUAUUAAUGAGUUAAUAGUA
Molecule: long non-coding RNA, 522 nt
Filed under: Malus domestica (apple)
Lineage: Eukaryota; Viridiplantae; Streptophyta; Magnoliopsida; Rosales; Rosaceae
Description: long non-coding RNA (MDOM_LNC020923)
Source: RNAcentral